UAACGCGUGAGGAACCUGCCUUCCAGAGGGGGACAACAGUUGGAAACGACUGCUAAUACCGCAUGAUGCGUUGGAGCCGCAUGACUCCGACGUCAAAGAUUUAUCGCUGGAAGAUGGCCUCGCGUCUGAUUAGCUAGUUGGUGAGGUAACGGCCCACCAAGGCGACGAUCAGUAGCCGGACUGAGAGGUUGAACGGCCACAUUGGGACUGAGACACGGCCCAGACUCCUACGGGAGGCAGCAG
This 243-nucleotide ribosomal RNA is filed under the name uncultured bacterium. RNAcentral describes it as "partial 16S ribosomal RNA". It matches the Rfam family "Bacterial small subunit ribosomal RNA", at positions 111 to 354 of the family's 1533-position model. The record is from RNAcentral.